UGGGAAUGCUAUUUGUGAAAGUAUUUACUUCGGUUUCUGAGAUGCUGGCUGUAAUUUUAAUAGGCAAUGCAUAAUCCUGCUUUUUUAGAAGAAAUGUUUCUAUGUACUCAACAGUGAAGGAAGCAGUAAUUACUGAAAACUGUGGGUAGAAUGACCAGUUUAGAAAGCCAGAAGCAAUUUGCUGCCAGAGUGUGCUUCCUUUUAAAAGAGCCAGCAGCUAAAAUGUACAACAAACUUCAAUGAAGAACUCUGUAUCAUAAAUUCCAAAAAUUCUGUGGCCAACCAGCAGCAGUGUUCUACAAUGGCAGGCGUGGAGAUCCGUCUCAAGUUACUGAAUAACAGAAAAUUUCCCUUUACAUCCAACUAUAUGUGUUGAAAUGAAAAAUUAUAUUCCAAGAAAUAUAUUGUCCUUGAGCAAUGCAAAAUUAAUUUUAAUGAAUAAUAUAAAAUCUGAAUGACAUGAUUGAUUCAUACAUUAACUAUGAAUGCCAAUUAAUUUUAAAGCAAAAUGACAGGAAAAUAAAAAAAUAUGGCUCCAAGUUUGGUUUUGCAGCCAUUUUAUCUUCAUAUGACAUUCACGUUUUGUAAAAAAUGUCAACUUUUAAUCUUUAAA
This is a non-coding RNA of Heterocephalus glaber (naked mole-rat), 613 nucleotides long. NCBI's taxonomy places the organism in Eukaryota, Metazoa, Chordata, Mammalia, Rodentia, Bathyergidae. The record is from RefSeq and is a predicted model, not a curated record.